CCGGAGUGGACGAACCUCUGGUGUUCCGGUUGUCACGCCAGUGGCAUUGCCGGGUAGCUAUGUUCGGAAGCGAUAACCGCUGAAAGCAUCUAAGCGGGAAGCGCGCCUCAAGAUGAGAUCUCCCGGGACACAAGUCCCCUGAAGGAACCAUCAAGACUAGGUGGUUGAUAGGUCAGGUGUGUAAGCGCAGCAAUGCGUUGAGCUAACUGAUACUAAUGAUCCGUGUGGCUUGACCAU
RNAcentral lists this ribosomal RNA (237 nucleotides) under Pseudoxanthomonas sp. RNAcentral describes it as "partial 23S ribosomal RNA". It matches the Rfam family "Bacterial large subunit ribosomal RNA", at positions 2692 to 2925 of the family's 2925-position model. Lineage: Bacteria; Pseudomonadati; Pseudomonadota; Gammaproteobacteria; Lysobacterales; Lysobacteraceae. The record is from RNAcentral.